UGUUGGAAUUGCCGCCGCUGCUCCGUUUCCAUAGGUCCCCUAAUUACAUUUCGGUUAUUAUAUGUGCGAUUAGAGUUGCUGUGCUUGCCGAGAGUUGUCACUGAAGCUGUUGGGCCCGCCGUGGUUGCACCCAGGUUGCUGCUGCGUCGCCGGAGACCACAGCUAAAGCCUCUGUCUUCUUGGGUUUCUGUUGCCGCGAGUUACUUAGUUAUACGUCGUCGCCAAAACCAGGCCAGAUUUACUGGUAACUGUUUCUUCCUUUCUUGAAUUUGUUCUGCUUCUAUUUUGUUCCACUAUUCUUAUUAUUGGUGGUGUCUCUGCUGCCUUAAUUGCUCG
This is a non-coding RNA of Arachis ipaensis, 336 nucleotides long. Lineage: Eukaryota; Viridiplantae; Streptophyta; Magnoliopsida; Fabales; Fabaceae. The record is from RefSeq and is a predicted model, not a curated record.